UUAUUCUAAAUAGCUAGCAAACCAUGUGAAUGAAGUAGGAAAACUUGCAUGGAUGAUAAGCUUAAAAGCAGAGUAUGGUUAUAUGACGGAUACGUUAUAUAACUAUAUCGAUUUAUUAGGUAACUAUUAAGUCAGAAACUAGAAACUAGCCGUCUGUGCUUAUCAGUGCAUGCUAUACAUCUUUAUAAGUCAUAUUUCUUGUCGUGGAGGUAAUAGACGCCGGUCAGGAAUAAUCCUUAUAUCGUAGCCUGGUAAACUACAUAAAUAUAAGGAACGCUAACAGCUCCAUCAGAUUUGAAGACUUUGAAAAAGGUCUAUAAGGCAAGUUUAUAGUGCGAGUAGCCAAAUCAUCUAGAAUCCUAAGGGAAUAUGCAUGUUUUAUGUCAGCACGAAUGUAGCAUUCUGAAUGCUUGGUAAAAGUUAUAGGUAUUAAUCCUAUCAUGGCUUGUUAACCUAAGAAGUAUAUAGGUAGCUCCUAUAUGCUCAGACUUAGGUUCCAUGUGGACGAAUAAUAAUUUUGUAUAGAAAGAGACAUUAUUUGUAGGGAGAAAUUCCUGCUAGUUAUUAUGAAU
Molecule: small RNA, 572 nt
Filed under: human gut metagenome
Description: ROOL RNA
Rfam family: ROOL RNA
About the family: Firmicutes, Fusobacteria (1 example), Tenericutes (1 example).
Source: RNAcentral